RNAcentral lists this long non-coding RNA (237 nucleotides) under Vigna radiata. Its description in RNAcentral is "long non-coding RNA (VRAD_LNC007425)". Lineage: Eukaryota; Viridiplantae; Streptophyta; Magnoliopsida; Fabales; Fabaceae. The record is from RNAcentral.
GGAGAUACAAGUCCCAGUUGGGAGGUGGUGGGCACAACACCCCGUUUGAACCGAGAAGAGAGCCCACUUGAAAGACUAACAACAGAUAAUGGGUUACUUCGUCCUGCACCUCCCUUUCUUCUUUUUACACCAUCAUAAAAUAUUUAAUCCCAUUUUAGUCCUGCACCAAUCACAUUUAUGCACCUCCAUCUUUAUCUUGUUCCCCGAUCCCUUCUCCCAUCCACACUGUUGCACUUC